CAGCAGCCGCGGGAAAACGGGGGGGGCAAGCGUUACUCGGAAUCACUGGGCGUAAAGGACGCGUAGGCGGAUUAUCAAGUCUCUUGUGAAAUCUAACGGCUUAACCGUUAAACUGCUUGGGAAACUGAUAAUCUAGAGUAAGGGAGAGGCAGAUGGAAUUCUUGGUGUAGGGGUAAAAUCCGUAGAGAUCAAGAAGAAUACCUAUUGCGAAGGCGAUCUGCUGGAACUUAACUGACGCUAAUGCGCGAAAGCGCGGGGAGCAAACAGGAUUAGAUACCCGCGUAGUCCCUGUCUCUUAUAC
RNAcentral lists this ribosomal RNA (301 nucleotides) under uncultured bacterium. RNAcentral describes it as "partial 16S ribosomal RNA". It matches the Rfam family "Bacterial small subunit ribosomal RNA", at positions 509 to 807 of the family's 1533-position model. The record is from RNAcentral.